Non-coding RNA from Stenotrophomonas panacihumi, 117 nucleotides. The record is from Rfam. NCBI's taxonomy places the organism in Bacteria, Pseudomonadati, Pseudomonadota, Gammaproteobacteria, Lysobacterales, Lysobacteraceae.
CACCCAAUCGUGGCAAUGCGACACAGGGGCGUAAGGCUGGAAUUGGAACAGGGGCCAGCCAGGCGCACAUUGGGGAAGCGCGGGGCCGGUAGUCGGGGGACUGCCGGCCCUUUUUUU